This 377-nucleotide long non-coding RNA is filed under the name Pelobates cultripes (western spadefoot toad). The record is from RNAcentral. Lineage: Eukaryota; Metazoa; Chordata; Amphibia; Anura; Pelobatidae.
UGGGUUAAGCCUUCCCCCUAAUCCUGUAGUGGCUGUCUCAUUGACAGCCACUAGAGGCGCUUGCGUGCUUCUCACUGUGAUUUUCACAGUGAGAGCACGCAAGCGUCCAUAGGAAAGCACUGUAAAUGCUUUCCUAUGCGACGGGCUGAAUGCGCGCGCAGCUCUUGCCGCGCGUGCGCAUUCAGCCCAGGAGGAGGAACAGAGGAGGAGAGAAGGAGGAGAGCUCUCCGCCCAGCGCUGGAAAAAGGUACGUUUUUAACCCUUUCCCCCUUCCAGAGCCGGGCAGGAGGGGGUCCCUGAGGGUGGGGGCACCCUCAGGGCACUAUAGUGCCAGGAAAACGAGUAUGUUUUCCUGGCACUAUAGUGGUCCUUUAACA